This 429-nucleotide ribosomal RNA is filed under the name Actinomycetes bacterium. RNAcentral describes it as "Actinobacteria bacterium partial 16S ribosomal RNA". It matches the Rfam family "Bacterial small subunit ribosomal RNA", at positions 355 to 776 of the family's 1533-position model. The record is from RNAcentral. RNAcentral also lists the same sequence under 1 other name. Lineage: Bacteria; Bacillati; Actinomycetota; Actinomycetes.
UAGGGAAUCUUCCGCAAUGGGCGAAAGCCUGACGGAGCAACGCCGCGUGAGUGAUGAAGGUCUUCGGAUCGUAAAACUCUGUUAUUAGGGAAGAACAAAUGUGUAAGUAACUAUGCACGUCUUGACGGUACCUAAUCAGAAAGCCACGGCUAACUACGUGCCAGCAGCCGCGGUAAUACGUAGGUGGCAAGCGUUAUCCGGAAUUAUUGGGCGUAAAGCGCGCGUAGGCGGUUUUUUAAGUCUGAUGUGAAAGCCCACGGCUCAACCGUGGAGGGUCAUUGGAAACUGGAAAACUUGAGUGCAGAAGAGGAAAGUGGAAUUCCAUGUGUAGCGGUGAAAUGCGCAGGGAUAUGGAGGAACACCAGUGGCGAAGGCGACUUUCUGGUCUGUAACUGACGCUGAUGUGCGAAAGCGUGGGGAUCAAACAGG